UACAGAGGGUGCGAGCGUUAAUCGGAAUUACUGGGCGUAAAGGGCGCGUAGGCGGAUUAUUAAGUUAGAUGUGAAAUCCCUGGGCUUAACCUAGGAACUGCAUCUAAAUACUGGUAGUCUAGAGUGGCGGUAGAGGAUAGUGGAAUUUCCGGUGUAGCGGUGAAAUGCGUAGAUAUCGGAAGGAAGACCAGUGGCGAAGGCGGGUCUCUGGACAGUUCCUGAGCGCUGAGGCACGAAGGUCAGGGGAGCAAACGGG
Molecule: ribosomal RNA, 256 nt
Filed under: uncultured bacterium
Lineage: Bacteria
Description: partial 16S ribosomal RNA
Rfam family: Bacterial small subunit ribosomal RNA
Source: RNAcentral